UUCCUUUGGUGGUACCGUCAGCUACCUCAAGGGUAGGUUUCUUCCCACCUGACAGUGUUUUACGACCCGAAAGCCUUCUUCACACACGCGGCGUUGCUGCGUCAGAGUUUUCCUCCAUUGCGCAAUAUUCCCC
Molecule: ribosomal RNA, 133 nt
Filed under: uncultured bacterium
Lineage: Bacteria
Description: partial 16S ribosomal RNA
Source: RNAcentral